This 255-nucleotide long non-coding RNA is filed under the name Malus domestica (apple). RNAcentral describes it as "long non-coding RNA (MDOM_LNC007322)". Lineage: Eukaryota; Viridiplantae; Streptophyta; Magnoliopsida; Rosales; Rosaceae. The record is from RNAcentral.
AGCCCAUCAUUUAUGUAUUGAGGAGCGAGCCCUUAUUUUAUAAAAGGGACUCCCUCACCUUCAAACGCCACAAGCCAAGCCAACCAAGGCAACAUAAGCUACAAGCAAAGCGGCCUCACAACAUGUGCUACUUCUAGUUGAGCAUCAUUUCAGAUUGGGCACCGCCUCAUAUCGAGCAUCAGUUCUAGACGACAUUUAGUUACUUCGGCCCACACAUGGACUGAAUUUCAAGUCUCCAGCCAAAAGACUCUCUUG